GGCUUCAGAUCUGGAUGCAGUACUCCAGGACCGUUGCCUCAUUCAGAGGAUGGCAGGGAACAUCUCUGCCAGCUGGGCAUGGCUGGAGUGCCCCAUUCCCAUAGGAGCUGCGUAAGGAGGACACAGAGUUCCAGGGAUUUCCAUGAAUUGCUGUCAGGACAGAAGAAGGCAACAGAUUGCAACUGUGGGAUCUGCUGUUUCAGCUCCGCUGACACGUCAUUCCCUCAGGACACCCAGUGACCUGGUUAAUCUAGUUCUUUGCUUCUGACUUCUCCUCGUAAAUGAUUUAUCAACUGGCGUGGAUCCCUGUUUGCUUAAGGAGGCGUGUGACGACCUCUAGCAGACCAGCUGCACAAAGCUGCCUUUGGCACCCGGCUGCUGGUCCCAGCUCCUGACCCUUGGCACGGGGAGCAGAAGGACGGGGCACCGGCUGAGCCCACUGGCAAGGGCUGAUGCAGGGAGCUGUGGGCAGUGUUUGCACAGCCCUGUGGAGAGCCCCGGUGACUAAGCCAUUGGUUUGUCAGCAAGGGUGCUUGCAGGCCUGCCUCAGCUUGCCCUGACCCCCACAACACAGAGGUACUGGCUGGGUGGCUGGCUGCCCUGCUCACUGUAUACAGGCUGCAGGGUACAAGCCACAAGACACAUCAGCCAUGACAGAGCCAGCCUUCAGGUCUGUGUACUCCAGAGGAAAACUGACAUGAGCAUCCAUCACCUUGCCCAUCCUCACAAAGAUGCAUCGGUGGCAAUGACAGUGGUGUCUGAACCAGGUGCAGCUCUGGAGGUCAUUGCCAUGCACACAUGCAUAGGUCAAUACGUGUGUUGUCACACAAGAAACACUGUAGCUUAAAAAGAAGUAGGUACAGACCUAAACUUGAGCACACAAGCCAGGGAGGCGAGGGACGAUCCUUCAAGCUUUCCAUCCUGCCUUUGUACAGGAGGCUAGAGGAGCAUGGAAAGACAUCAGAUAUCACAAAUUGGGCACCCCAUAAAGAUUUGUCUAUGGGCAACUCCCUGCUUUCCCUUCAGGACAGUUAUUGCCACUUCCUGCUCUGAUUGUUUCAAAUCUGGUUAUCUUGAGUUAUGCCUGUUCUGGCAAAUAUGGUGCAGCAGAGGGGAGGUCCUGUAUGCAUGCCACAGAUCACAGAGAUUAGCACAGGAGGAAUAGCUCAGACAAGAUGCUCGAGGCAGGUAUUGGGAGGCUGACAACAGAGCUGUGCAAUGAUUAAAAUCGUAAGACUGUUUAAAAAAAUCUUAAUUUUGGAAGAUGCAGAGCCAUGCUGAAUUUCUAGGUGGCCAGAGGCUGCUUCAGAAGGGUAGCACCCAGCAGAAAGGGAAGCUGAAGAAGCCCACUCCAAUACCAACACCGACACCCCCAUUCCCAAGAAGCAGGCACACCACCCACAGGCCACACAUCAUCACAGAGGGCUGGUUCUGCUGCAGUGAGGAACCUGCAGCCACAUGUAGGCAGAAGCAUGGGGUGUGUUUUCUUCUCACAUACGGGUGGAUCUGGAACAGCCUUCAGCUUCCUGGGACUUGAGAGGUGGUUUUGUUCAUAGCGCAAGAGGACAGAAUGUGCAGCUCUUGUUUCCUUUUUUGAGGGCACACCACGAGCUUCCUUCACUCCUGCCUCAACAGGAAGCUCUCUGUUUAGGCACCACAUGCUCCUCUGCACCUCAUCCAGCAGAUCAACAUUGCAGAAGGACAGACAGCUGGGGGAUGUGUGAAGGGAUUAUCCCACCUCACUAAGAGAAGCCAUAGCUACCAAUAGCUCAAAAAUCAAAACCACAUCCCCAAGAAAAUAUAUAGUCUGGGCUGAGCCCACACACCCUAUGGCACCCUUCUCAUAGUUACAGAGCAGAGAGGCAGGAGAGGAAAGGAAGUGAAUUACCCCAAGAUGAUAUUUCCAACUUUUUAUCAUGGGUGAAUGUAUUUUAGACACAACGUUCAGUGUGAAUUACCAAGUGCUGGUAGGUUUCUAUACAGUAAGUCAGGGUUCAGGCUUAGUUUUAAGACCUUUCUCACUGAGUGUUCAUGCUACUUCUUCUUUAUACAGGCUUGCUCUCCACACUGCAGAGUCUGGCCCAUGUAGAAACUAUGUCCUUAACCAGCAGCAUAAGUACUCCUGGCUCUGACCUUUUGGCUUUGAAAACUCAAAAUACAUUUACUGAGGACAGCACAGAUACAGAGUGAUGCAAGUGGAAAGCUCCCCAAAAGCUUUCCCGUCCCUAGGGCACUGAAACGAGAUGCGUUUUCUCAUUGACCUCUUUUGCAGCAGGUGCACAGAUUAAGCAAUGCUACAUUAAAAAGAGCACCCAGAAGCUCCUUGGCAGAGCCAGGACUAGAACCUGCUGGUUUCUCUUUUCUCCAGUGUCCCAGGCUGGGGGAGAGAUGCCUGAGUUUAUUCUGGUCACACAAGGCCAUUUUCUGAUCCCAGACAGGGGUUAAUUUGCAUUUUUCACCAAAACCACACAUAGGUAUCUUCAUUGAGAUGUUCAUGCAGAAACCAUUUUAUUGAGCUGUUCUUGCCUGGUGCUGGGCAGUGAGAAGUCACGAACCUUUCAGUUGGGUCUUCCAGUCAAGGCUACAACCUGUCGUGUAGUCAAAGUAUCUGCAUCCUGCUUCACCACCACUGCUCUGGAAACACUGGCUCAGAGUUAAGAGGCAGCUGAUUCCAGUUUCUUACCCAGGUCCACAUUAAAUCUACUGGCAAGAUCUAACAGAACUGCACACAGAAGAGUACACUUAUGGCUGAAUAGAAGCUAAGGGAAUAAUAACCUGCUUUUCUUGGACCUGGUCCAGUAUUCACUAUAGGGAUUUCCAUGACCAUUAGUAGGAUUCAAAUCAGACCAUAAAGUUCUUGCAAAUUUUCUUCUGCUUUAUUAAAGCAGGGGAAAAAAAUCCAAACCCGACAACAACAACAAAAAACUAUUAAAAAAGCUGUUUCCCCUUUUUCUUAUAUAAUUAUUUUCUUUUCACCUCUAACAACACUGUGAUCUGGUAACUGCCCAUAACAGGAGAAGUACAUUCCUGAGUCCCAGUUUUGCUCAAUGUGAAGAACAACCAACUUGGCCCUGCUCUGAGCUGCUGUGAUGGAAGGUGUGAUCCCUGUGUCUCCAAGACUCACCACUUGUAGCAAGCACUGGAACAACAGAAUUACAGACUGAGAGGACAGUCUCCCUAGAUUAUCAAUUAAAAAUGUCAAA
Long non-coding RNA from Calypte anna (Anna's hummingbird), 3203 nucleotides. RefSeq lists it as uncharacterized. The transcript has 3 exons. Lineage: Eukaryota; Metazoa; Chordata; Aves; Apodiformes; Trochilidae. The record is from RefSeq and is a predicted model, not a curated record.